Molecule: ribosomal RNA, 1053 nt
Filed under: Bacillus subtilis
Lineage: Bacteria; Bacillati; Bacillota; Bacilli; Caryophanales; Bacillaceae
Description: bacterial SSU rRNA
Rfam family: Bacterial small subunit ribosomal RNA
Source: RNAcentral
CUAUACAUGCAAGUCGAGCGGACAGAUGGGAGCUUGCUCCCUGAUGUUAGCGGCGGACGGGUGAKUAACACGUGGGUAACCUGCCUGUAAGACUGGGAUAACUCCGGGAAACCGGGGCUAAUACCGGAUGGUUGUUUGRACCGCAUGGUUCAAACAUAAAAGGUGGCUUCGGCUACCACUUACAGAUGGACCCGCGGCGCAUUAGCUAGUUGGUGAGGUAACGGCUCACCAAGGCAACGAUGCGUAGCCGACCUGAGAGGGUGAUCGGCCACACUGGGACUGAGACACGGCCCAGACUCCUACGGGAGGCAGCAGUAGGGAAUCUUCCGCAAUGGACGAAAGUCUGACGGAGCAACGCCGCGUGAGUGAUGAAGGUUUUCGGAUCGUAAAGCUCUGUUGUUAGGGAAGAACAAGUACCGUUCGAAUAGGGCGGUACCUUGACGGUACCUAACCAGAAAGCCACGGCUAACUACGUGCCAGCAGCCGCGGUAAUACGUAGGUGGCAAGCGUUGUCCGGAAUUAUUGGGCGUAAAGGGCUCGCAGGCGGUUUCUUAAGUCUGAUGUGAAAGCCCCCGGCUCAACCGGGGAGGGUCAUUGGAAACUGGGGAACUUGAGUGCAGAAGAGGAGAGUGGAAUUCCACGUGUAGCGGUGAAAUGCGUAGAGAUGUGGAGGAACACCAGUGGCGAAGGCGACUCUCUGGUCUGUAACUGACGCUGAGGAGCGAAAGCGUGGGGAGCGAACAGGAUUAGAUACCCUGGUAGUCCACGCCGUAAACGAUGAGUGCUAAGUGUUAGGGGGUUUCCGCCCCUUAGUGCUGCAGCUAACGCAUUAAGCACUCCGCCUGGGGAGUACGGUCGCAAGACUGAAACUCAAAGGAAUUGACGGGGGCCCGCACAAGCGGUGGAGCAUGUGGUUUAAUUUCGAAGCAACGCGAAGAACCUUACCAGGUCUUGACAUCCUCUGACAAUCCUAGAGAUAGGACGUCCCCUUUCGGGGGGCAGAGUGACAGUGGUGCAUGGAUUGUCGUCAGCUUCGUGUCGUGAGAUGUUGGG